UACGUAGGGUGCAAGCGUUGUCCGGAAUUAUUGGGCGUAAAGAGCUCGUAGGCGGUCUGUCGCGUCGGUUGUGAAAACACAAGGCUCAACCUUGUGCCUGCAAUCGAUACGGGCAGACUAGAGUACUGCAGGGGAGACUGGAAUUCCUGGUGUAGCGGUGGAAUGCGCAGAUAUCAGGAGGAACACCGGUCGGCGGAAGGCGGGCACUGGGCAGUAACUGACGCUGAGGCAGCGAAAGCGUGGGGAGCAAACAGG
This 255-nucleotide ribosomal RNA is filed under the name uncultured bacterium. Its description in RNAcentral is "partial 16S ribosomal RNA". It matches the Rfam family "Bacterial small subunit ribosomal RNA", at positions 524 to 776 of the family's 1533-position model. The record is from RNAcentral.